This 478-nucleotide ribosomal RNA is filed under the name uncultured Lachnospiraceae bacterium. Its description in RNAcentral is "partial 16S ribosomal RNA". The record is from RNAcentral. Lineage: Bacteria; Bacillati; Bacillota; Clostridia; Lachnospirales; Lachnospiraceae.
CACGUAGUUAGCCGGGGCUUCUUAGUCAGGUACCGUCAUCUUCUUCCCUGCUGAUAGAGCUUUACAUACCGAAAUACUUCUUCACUCACGCGGCGUCGCUGCAUCAGGGUUCCCCCCAUUGUGCAAUAUUCCCCACUGCUGCCUCCCGUAGGAGUUUGGGCCGUGUCUCAGUCCCAAUGUGGCCGGUCGCCCUCUCAGGCCGGCUACUGAUCGUCGCCUUGGUGGGCCGCUGCCCCGCCAACUAGCUAAUCAGGCGCGGAUCCAUCUUAUACCACCGGAGUUUUUCACACUGCGCCAUGCGGCGCCGUGCGCUUAUGCGGUAUUAGCAGCCAUUUCUGGCUGUUAUCCCCCAGUAUAAGGCAGGUUAUCCACGUGUUACUCACCCGUCCGCCGCUAAGUCAAUCCUGAUUCCAUCCGAAAACUUCAUCAAGAUUGCUCCGCUCGACUUGCAUGUGUUAGGCACGCCGCCAGCGUUCAU